This is a long non-coding RNA of Monodelphis domestica (gray short-tailed opossum), 1071 nucleotides long. RefSeq lists it as uncharacterized. The record is from RefSeq and is a predicted model, not a curated record. NCBI's taxonomy places the organism in Eukaryota, Metazoa, Chordata, Mammalia, Didelphimorphia, Didelphidae.
UUUAAGAGCCCAGGAUGGUCAGUUACAGGAGGAAACUGACAUACAGAGAAGGGAGGGGCCCAAAGGUGUCACCCUUUGUCAGUAUCAGAGUCAUCACUUAAAGCUGAGUCUGUAAGAACCCAAUGGAAGGUUGAGAAAAGCGGUUCCAGGAUUCUCUGGAAUGCCUCUGUGGAGGCUCUAACUAUUGUGUGAAACAAAAUAUCUAGGGGACUUCCAUUCCAGCUUUGAACCCAGCGGUGGGACACAGGUGUCACAGAGCCACGUGUCUGACACCCUGUCCCUGUGUCCCAGUGCAGCCGGUUUCACUGUGAGUGUCUCUAGCAUCAAAGAGCCCGAGCCAGUGCAACAUUGCCACAGAGGGAGGAGCUGGGCAAAAUAAAAGUACUCCAGAUUGAAUAAACCUUCCUCCUGAGACAGAAUGUGGAGGAGGCGGCACACAACUGAACAGAAAGGGAACCAAGCCAGUUCCAGCACUGAGUCACAAGAUGGAGAGUGUUUUCACAAUUCCCCCCUUGCUGCCCUAAACACCUCCCUUCACAAGAGGGAAUCAGUUUAGUAGAUGGCACAAGGUCGGGUUGUCCCAGCUUCUUCACACACCCUACAAGAAAUGCUUCAGAAGAAUACUGGGAAUAGAGUUUUUCUUGAAACAGUGGCAAUGUCAGCCUCGGCAUCUCUCCUCAGAGAGGGGGAGUUCCAAAUGUUAGUCCACAUAAGCUUCUCCAGUCAAACCACAGAGAAGAGAUUUCAGGUUGAAUAGAAUUCUCAAGAGUAGAAAAUACAAGCAUUAAAUCCAGAAUGAAAAAUGUAAUUCACUCCCUCGUGACAUGAUAAAGGGGAUAUGUGACAGGGCUGAAUAAAAUCUCAAAAAAGAAGAAAGGAGAGUCAGCAAUAAAUAACUCCAUGUCUGAGAAAGUGGCAAACAAGCUAUUUGGGGGAAAAUUCCUUAUUUGGAAAAAAAUGCUAAGAAAACUGGAAUGGCCUCUGGAAGGAAAUGAGGCUUAGACCUUAAGCCUACACCACACUCUACUACACAUUCUAUAAGGACAUUAUUAAAGAUCAUACUAUAAGAAA